RNAcentral lists this long non-coding RNA (1180 nucleotides) under Bos indicus x Bos taurus (hybrid cattle). RNAcentral's name for it is "lncRNA (ENSBIXG00000020878.1)". Lineage: Eukaryota; Metazoa; Chordata; Mammalia; Artiodactyla; Bovidae. The record is from RNAcentral.
UGCUGAAUUUCCAAAGAGCACCUAUAACUAAGGCCAUGACCUUGGCCUGCUAAAACAGCAGUGCCGGUCCAUCGCUUCACAGUGACUGGGCUCUGAAGUCAUUGAACCGGGGCAUCUCUGAAGCCCCCACGGAGGGCUUCCUUAGACCGGGCUGGGCUGAGGAGGGCCGGGGAUCUGGGGAGGCGUUGCUUCUGCCCUCUCUUCUCCGGGUCCUUCUCCUCCUGGACCGCUGCGGAUCAUAAAGAACGGCGAGUCCUCAUGAGGCGGGGCUGAGCCGCGGCGCCAGCUGCCUGCGGUUUCCGCAGCUGCCUGCCUUCCCGAAGCCGCGGCUCCAGCCUGGUGCUCCCGGCUCCCGCAGCUGGGGAGAGCAGCGGACAAGCUUUGCCUUCCCGCUGCUGUUCCAGGGGUACGAUGUGGGUGGGGGGCCCAUGUGAAGACGCACCAGCAGGCGGGGCAACGUGAGCACAGAGUAAGACGGAGCCGCCUGGGACUGCCGGGGAGAGAGCACUCUGGCCAGAAGGACAGCGCUGGACAGAGCCCGAGAUGUGGAAGAGGCCACGUACAUUAGAAAAUCUAGCAGCGCUGAUAAGUGAUGGAUAUAAAGCUUGAGCAAGUCUGUCUGCAUCCCCCUCAUAAAAAUGAAGAACACUGUGUUCAGCCCCAGGCCUGGAACAUUCCUUUGAUGAGUUAAUCUCCAGCCAUCCUUCAAAUCUCAGCCCACUUGUCACUUCCUUAAAAAGAUCUCCCAUCGUCCCGCUGAACACCCUCUUCAGUACCCUCAUUGCAGUUGUGUGAGUAUUUUGUUCAGCAUUUCCUGGUGACUAUAAAUGUUUUGGCUAUUAUUAUAUUCUUAGUGCCUCACUCAUAACAAAUAAGCAUUUCCUGAAUGAAUGAAUGAAUGAAUGACCGCUGCCUGGCACUGAUGAACAGAAGUCCACAUUUUGUCUUAAUAGUGUCCCUGUGUAUUUCAGAGCCGGUUAUGACUCUUAAAUAAGCCAUGCUUUGUCUUUUAGUUCUGUUCUGGAAAAACAAAAUCCAGCCUUGAUCUUGCCUGGACAUCUCGCCUGAAAUACCAAAUGCACGUUCCAUCCAUAAGACAUUCCCUGGGCUGAUUAUUCAUUCAUCUUCAUUCCUCACCGAGCAUCAAGUUAUAUAUGCACAGUUAUUAGUAAUAAAUACC